AGAACGAACGCUGGCGGCAUGCCUAAUACAUGCAAGUCGAACGAACACUUCGGUGUUAGUGGCGCACGGGUGCGUAACGCGUGGGAAUCUGCCCUUGGGUUCGGAAUAACAGUUGGAAACGACUGCUAAUACCGGAUGAUAUCGAAAGAUCAAAGAUUUAUCGCCCAGGGAUGAGCCCGCGUAGGAUUAGCUAGUUGGUGAGGUAAAGGCGCACCAAGGCGACGAUCCUUAGCUGGUCUGAGAGGAUGAUCAGCCACACUGGGACUGAGACACGGCCCAGACUCCUACGGGAGGCAGCAGUAGGGAAUAUUGGACAAGU
Molecule: ribosomal RNA, 319 nt
Filed under: uncultured soil bacterium
Lineage: Bacteria
Description: bacterial SSU rRNA
Rfam family: Bacterial small subunit ribosomal RNA
Source: RNAcentral